UACGGCGGCCAUAGCGGAGGGGAAACGCCCGGUCCCAUUCCGAUCACGGAAGCUAAGCCCUCCAGCGCCGAUGGUACUGCACUCGACAGGGUGUGGGAGAGUAGGACACCGCGAAC
This 116-nucleotide ribosomal RNA is filed under the name Rhodococcus (subgen. Prescottella) equi. Lineage: Bacteria; Bacillati; Actinomycetota; Actinomycetes; Mycobacteriales; Nocardiaceae. The record is from RNAcentral.